AAGGUUUUAAGUUAUUAAAACUGUAAGCCUUCAAAGCUUAAAAUAAAAAAGAAUUUUUAAACCUUGCC
This 68-nucleotide transfer RNA is filed under the name Erronea onyx. Its description in RNAcentral is "tRNA-Trp". Lineage: Eukaryota; Metazoa; Mollusca; Gastropoda; Littorinimorpha; Cypraeidae. The record is from RNAcentral.